This 306-nucleotide long non-coding RNA is filed under the name Setaria viridis. RNAcentral describes it as "long non-coding RNA (SVIR_LNC000633)". Lineage: Eukaryota; Viridiplantae; Streptophyta; Magnoliopsida; Poales; Poaceae. The record is from RNAcentral.
CUGGGGGUACUAUGUGCUGACCUGAGCCCGCAUGGCAGUGACAAAAGGGUAGGGCGGGGGUGAGUGAGAAAGGUUUUUCAGGGGGAUUUGGAUAAGUAUAGGAUUUCUGGUUUUUAGAAAUAGAUUUAAAUGCCCGUUUCACCAUUUAAUUCACUAGAAAUUGUAGAACUGUAAAAAAUUUGUGAAACCAAUUUGUUAGGUUUGUUUUAUUUUCCUUUAUGGAUUAAAAUUCUUAAACCCUAGGAAAAGAUAAGAAAAAUAAGGUAUUUAUUUAGUACCUUUAUUUAAGGUAUUUAAGUAAAUACU